RNAcentral lists this long non-coding RNA (1113 nucleotides) under Oryctolagus cuniculus (rabbit). RNAcentral's name for it is "lncRNA (ENSOCUG00000035806.1)". Lineage: Eukaryota; Metazoa; Chordata; Mammalia; Lagomorpha; Leporidae. The record is from RNAcentral.
AUGCAGACUUUUAAAAACUUUUGGCACAAAAGUGAACUUUUCUUUUCAUCCUGUUUUCCACAAACAGUUGAAAUCUCCCAUGCGUGGCAGCUGGCCUGUCUCACCACAGUGCUGCCUGUUCACGCUCAGUCUGCUGCAGGGGCGUCUUGCUCCCUGCCCCAGCCACUGUUGAGAGAGCUCCGCUUGACCAGGCCCAUUCAAGCAACCGCAGAAGCCUCUCCUUACAUCCCAGAAGAGACUGCUCUUUCUGCCACCACCCUUUCAGCUGUUUGCAUGCACUUAUUUCAUCACUUGGGCUGCAUCUUGUGUUUUGGGUUUGCCGUGUGUGCUGUGUUCCUGCAGAGGACCGUCUGGGGCCUUGCGCUGGCGUCGUCUGAAGAUGCUUCCCUGGGAAGGACAUGGACGCCUCGCGUUUUACCUCUGCAGCCAACCGAGGGAAGGCACUGCACCCGCCAGACAGGUGAUGUCUCCACGGCUCAUCCGUUUGCUUUCAGGGGCAAAUACACCCUUGGAAAAGAGACGAUUCCAGACACCUUUACAAAGAGCAGGAACGCCUUACAAGAAAAUGAAUCCUGUUCCACUCCACCAGCACUGUUGUCUCUCCAGCAAAGUGGAUCCCUGUUUUUAAGCAUUCUCAGUUGGUUCAGACACUUCACCGUAAGGAAGGCGCUCACAUCAAGAUGCAGCAUCGUACUCGGCCAGUUCCAGCUCUGCGUAUCCGUGUGCCUGGUCCAGCUGUCUUGUUCCUGAAGAACUCCCCCAGGUUGCAUCCUGUUCGCCACACAUCGUCUCAGCACACAUUCCAGGUAGCACCGCAGAAACACGGGAAGAAUACACCAAAAUAAUGGCUUGGGGCUUCCCCCUUGGCUCACUGCUCCCUCUGUUGGUGGCAGACAGAGUGCCAGUAGCCCUGGGCGUGCUGCAAUAGUGCAAGUGAGGAGAUUUCCCCUGGUGGUGAGCUGCGGUAGGAUGCCCACGGCUGGCAUCAUCUAGGGUGUUUGUGAGGUCUGAGGCGAGCCCCCAUUUCUUGCAAAUGUAUGGGAUUAGAUAUCUGUUUGGGUUGUCAUUUACACUUUGGAUGCAAUAAACAUGUUGAAGCUAAAUACUUAUCCA